CAAAAUAGUAUAUGUAUCAAGGGAGGGCGAAUAUAUAUAUAUAUUUAUAAUAAGUCGAUGUGUAUAUUACAGACGCACAGGUUUACACUUGGUGAACUUUUUCUUUUUUGCGAAAAACUAGUAACAUUGCGGAGGACUCUUCCGCUCUCUCUUCGGGCGCGUUAGGGAAGGGGUAUUCUGUUUCCUUGGAGCGCCCAAGGGGGCGCAGGGACCUCGGAGAGAAGAGUGGGGAGGAAAGAGGGAGGUGGGUGGGGGGCCGAGGGCGAGUCGGCGCCGAGGGCCAGCGCUUUCUGGCCGCACGAUGCCGUCCCUGCUGGUGCUCACUUUCUCCGCGUGCGCCCUGCUUGGCUGGGCGUCGCUGGCCGGCGGCGCGGGUGGCGGUGGCGGGGGCGCGGGCCCCGGCGGCGGGCGCCGGGAGCGAGAGGCGCUCCCGCCGCAGAAGAUCGAGGUGCUGGUGCUGUUGCCCCGGGACGACUCGUACUUGUUCUCGCUGGCCCGGGUGCGGCCGGCCAUCGAGUAUGCGCUGCGCAGCGUGGAGGGCAACGGCACCGGCAGGCGGCUUCUGCCGCCCGGCACUCGCUUCCAGGUGGCCUACGAGGACUCGGACUGCGGCAACCGCGCGCUCUUCACCCUGGUGGACCGCGUGGCGGCGGCGCGGGGCGCCAAGCCCGACCUCAUCCUGGGGCCGGUGUGCGAGUACGCCGCGGCGCCGGUGGCCCGGCUAGCGUCGCACUGGGACCUGCCCAUGCUGUCUGCCGGGGCGCUGGCCGCCGGCUUCCAGCAUAAGGACUCUGAGUACUCGCAUCUCACGCGCGUGGCACCCGCCUACGCCAAGAUGGGCGAGAUGAUGCUAGCCCUGUUCCGCCACCACCACUGGAGCCGCGCCGCGCUGGUCUACAGCGACGACAAGCUGGAGCGGAACUGCUACUUCACCCUCGAGGGGGUCCACGAGGUCUUCCAGGAGGAGGGCUUGCACACGUCCGCCUACAAUUUCGACGAGACCAAAGAUCUGGAUCUGGACGACAUCGUGCGUUACAUCCAGGCGAGUGAGCGAGUGGUGAUCAUGUGUGCGAGCGGUGACACAGUGCGGAGCAUCAUGCUGGCGGCACACAGGCACGGCAUGACGGGUGGAGACUACGCCUUCUUCAACAUCGAGCUCUUCAACAGCUCUUCCUACGGAGAUGGCUCGUGGAAGAGAGGAGACGAUUAUGACUCUGAAGCCAAGCAGGCGUACUCGUGCCUCCAGACGGUCACUCUACUGAGGACGGUGAAACCUGAGUUCGAGAAGUUCUCCCUGGAGGUGAAAAGUUCUGUCGAGAAGCAAGGACUCAAUGAGGAAGAUUACGUGAACAUGUUUGUUGAAGGAUUCCACGAUGCCAUCCUCCUCUACGUCCUGGCUUUACACGAAGUACUCAGAGCUGGUUACAGCAAGAAGGAUGGAGGGAAAAUUAUCCAGCAGACUUGGAACAGAACAUUUGAAGGUAUUGCCGGACAGGUGUCCAUAGACGCCAAUGGAGACCGAUACGGGGACUUCUCUGUGAUCGCCAUGACGGACACGGAGGCAGGAACCCAGGAGGUUAUCGGGGAUUACUUUGGAAAAGAAGGUCGUUUUGAAAUGCGGCCUAAUAUCAAAUAUCCCUGGGGUCCCUUGAAAUUGAGAAUAGAUGAGACCAGACUCGUGGAGCAUACGAACAGCUCUCCUUGCAAAUCAUCAGGUGGUCUAGAAGAAUCAGCGGUGACAGGCAUUGUUGUAGGGGCCCUACUGGGAGCUGGGUUGCUAAUGGCCUUCUACUUUUUCAGGAAGAAAUACAGAAUAACCAUUGAGAGGCGAAACCAGCAAGAAGAAAGUAACGUUGGAAAACAUCGGGAGUUACGAGAAGAUUCCAUCAGAUCCCAUUUUUCGGUGGCUUAAAAGAAGCUUAAUUUUUUUUUUCCCCUUUCUGCCUGAGGUUACUUAAGGAGAUAGCUGGGAUGAAAGACAUCAGUGGAACAGAAGGGGUGUUCUUGAAGCAUUCAUUCUUUUAAGCAGUCAUUUCAUUUUAAACAUUCUUUAGAAGCUCAGGAACUAUUAUUAAUCAUGAUCUGGCUCCCGGCCUUUCAUCUCAUGACAAACAAAUAUAAGGAUAUAAUGUCACUUUGCUAAGUGUUCAUACUGCUUCAAGGGCAUAUAAUUGGAUUUAUGUUUUAAAAUCUGAUGUCUCCAUAUCUUGAUGGCUCUUGGGGACAUUUCACACAAGGACAUAAAAUGUGGUUUUCCUACAUGAAAUGUUUUGUAGCUAGAAUAAAAUCAUUUUUACAAGUAGAAUAUUCUUGGGAAGAGUUUGACACCCAAUAAGAAGGAAAUGUAAUGAGAAAAUCCCAGGGUUGGGAAUACACCAUCACUCUCUCUAGAGCUGGCAGAGAGAUGGUUGAGGAUUGCUGUGUCCAAUGUCUGCAAUCAGGUUCUGACUUUGAAUCUGGAAAAGCAUUUUUUCCUUGUCUCCUUCAGUGUCUCAUAAGAGCUACUCUGAAAAGUUGUAAAUAUUAGUGAGGUAGGAAGAUUUAUACAAGAAAAGCAAAUCUGAAUUUUGUGUGUAAAAAAAAGCCCUAUUUCACACUAACACUUUUAUUUUUAACUAUCUUAAUCUUAUAUUUUGAUGUUAGAAAAUAUGUCUAUUUUUUCAGUUUGAAGAUUAAAUUUCACUUAUAUUUUAAAAGCAUGGGUCAAGUGUAUAACAAGCCAGUAAUGAUCAAAGAAAGAUGCUUUUCUUUUUCUCUGUUUCCUCCUUCUCCUGGUCAUAGCCAAAUGCCAAUUACUGCUUUAAUUACAGAGAUCUAAAGAUGUAUGUAGAUUGCAAACUCUAUAGGAGUACAUUCAUUUUUAAACCAUUUGCAUUUUGAACCAUUUAAAAUGCAAUCUGUUGCUGGGCUGCAUCCCUUCCAGUUCUGACCAAAUGGUGUUUCAAGAUCCAGAGUGAAAAGAGAUUAUAAUUAGGCAAAAUUUUAAAGGGAGGUAGCCCUUCCCCCUCAAGAAUAACUUAAGAAAGACUUAGAACUUGACAGAAGGAUGGAAUUGAUAAAAAAAAAAUGCAUGGCAUUUACCAGAAUUCACAAUGAUGAGUUUGGAUUUUUUUCCCUUUAAUAACACUCUUUUACUUUAAAAGUUUAUGGGGGGGGGUAAUCUAAGUACCUUCUAUGUGAGUAUUCAUUCUCAGUCUACUCUGCAGUUUUACAGGCAUCCACCAAUAACCUGUGUGACAGUGGGUUGGGUGUGGGUGUAAGGCAUUGGGAUGAUUUGUAGGGAUUUCCUGGAUAUCUGCUUUGCACCCAGUACUCUGCACAUAGGUUUAUUCUCAGGUUGUCACAUUCACCUACAGCUGUGGAGAAAACAGACAGCAAGGAAAGAAAGGGAAGUGUCAGGUAAGAGUGCUGUCCUGUAAUGUCAUUAGGUUAUUUCCUAGCAACAUUUUGAGCAUAUGAAAAGUAUUUUUGCAAAUGAUCUUAGUGUCUAUAAAAGACAGGGACAGAGGGGAGUUUAAGCACUUCCUUGGUGGUGAUGGAGGUUGUAACUCACACUGGUAACAGAAGAGGAAAAAGUGAGUGACAGCUCCAUAUUUUAAAUCUUGGCUAGCGAUUGCUUCCCCAGAGGGGUCUGCCUCUGUCCACAGCCAUCACAGUGAACUGAUGAUAUCUGCCUGAGGCACCUUUCCUCUCCAUUGUUUGAAAAAUGGGAUGCAGGAUGCAGGCAUGACAGAAUGGAAAGGCAGGGUAGAAGAAUUAACUGCGAGGAACUGAAACAAUGUUGCAGUCCGUCCUGCUAGACAGAAAGAGAAGAGUGCUGGAUUCAAAUAAGGAUGGAAAAAGAAGGCAAGAAAGACAGGCGCAAAAAAUUCUAAUGGAGGAAGAGGGUUUGAAAAUAAGACCCAGGACAGCAAAACAUUUGACAGCUUGGGACUCCCCCAGGUGAGAAGAGAAUGGAAAGAGUGCUCUAUUCUCAGUCACAGGAAUUGGAGAGCUUAUUUCUCUCAUUCAAAUUUUUCAUGAUGUUUUCUUAUCCUCUAGAGAUAAUAAUUUUCUAUUAUUUUGUGUUGGUAAAAAACACAUUUUGAGCCUGUAUUUGUAUUUUCGGGGGGUGGGAAUACUGUCUACCUGGCUUCAGUCUUUGGGUUCUGAACGUGUCCAGUCUUUCUAGAAUUUACAUAAUAGUCCAUCAGCAGUUUUAGAGAAAAUAUCUUUUAUUUCUACUGCAGGUAGAAGAAUAAUUAUAUGUAUAUAUUUUUAAAGAUUUAUUUAUUUUUCACUUGAGAGUCAGAGUUACACAGAGAGAGAAGGAGAGGCAGAGAGAGAAAGAGAGAGAGAGAGAGAGGUCUUCCAUCUGCUGGUUCAUUCCCCAAUUGGUGGCAAUUGCCAAUUUGAAGCCAGGAGCCAGGAGCUUCCUCCGGGUCUCCCAUAUGGGUGCAGGGGCCCAAGGACUUGGGCCAUCUUCUACUGCUUUCCCAGGCCAUAGUAGAGAGCUGGAUUGGAAAUGGAGCAGCUGGGACUAGAACUGGUGCCCAUAUGGGUUGCUGAUGCUUCAGGCCAGAGUGUUAACCUGCUGUGCCACAGUGCCAGCCCAGAAGAAUAAUUAUAAACUUAUUAUAUCCCUGAAUAAGAUCUUGAAGAUAAAUGAGGAUUUAGUAUUUAAAAAAAAUGGCAACACAAAUCACAAAGUUUCUGGUAUGAGGAUGCCAUUCUUUUCCAAUUUAAAAAGCAAAUUCUGCUGUUUUUAAAGAUUUAUUUGUAUGUCUGUUGUCUAUUAUUUGUUCCCUGAAAUCUUCAUAUGAAUUACCAAAACUCCAUUAAGUUUUGAAAACUCCAUAAAGUUGGAUAAAUCUCUCCAAAAAAAAAAUAGGUGUCAAGCAUAAGUUGACUUAGGUUAAGACUUCUUAACCCAGAUUGUAUUUUGCAAUUUAAGUUUCCAACUGCUAAGUAACAUCUUUGGCAAAUAGUCAUUCAUAUUCUGCCAGUAGCCACAUAUCAUAUAGUAAAAUAAAUUGGGCUUUAGUUUUUAAAAUCAUUUCUAUAAUUUUUUUACCCUGAAAUCUAGGAUAUUCAAAUUUCAAAAGGCUAUUUUAUCUGUAUUUUCUCAAAUACUGUCAAACAAACUUACGUUGAAACAGACCCAAAGGGGUGUGUACUCUUUUGGUGUGGAAAUAAGUAUCGGUUUUAUGGUUGUCAUUGUCUUUUUGGAUUCAGAGGGGACAAAGAGGAACUCAGAAAUAAAAGGUUCACCUAGAUGGUAACUUCCAUCUGGAAAGAACUUUCCCUACAGAGUUCAUGUCUUCCUUUAGCCUGGGCACAGAUUUUGUGAGGAAACCCCUAUAAACAUUACAUUUCUCUGAAGAACCAUCAACUUCCUGAACCUCAGACAUGGUUCCACAGGCCUUACAUCUUUACUUUUCAGAAGCUGUAUUUAAUAGAGAGAGAAGAGAAAUGUUUGAAAAGAGAAUGCCUCUCUCUCCUCUCAAAUUCAAAGCCUUUGCUUGGUGAUGCCAAUCACUUCUCCCUCUUCACAGGCUUCCAGAAUCAUUAAUUUACUCAAAGCACAGGUGCCUUCCUUGUCCCUAACUAACCACUUUCCUUCUGGUUGUGGCUGACUUGGGGGUGCCUACAGCUUACAGUAAGUAGUGAAAUUAAGGUCAUUGUAUAGGCCACAUCCAGACAGUGGCAGGGGUUCAGAGCAGGUUCCAGUGGCUUCACCACCUCCUUGUAAGUGAGUAAACACUAGCUAUUUGUGGGAGUCUUCUCAGGAGACCACAUGGAAUAUUACGCCACUGGUUUUAAGAAUGAGUCCAUCAACGGGAAGGAAUGAGUACCUGUAUGUCUUGGGAGACGGAGUACUCAGAUCUUGACUGUAUACAACCACCAAGACAAAUGCCAACUGAAACCAGGCCUCUGGAUCUAUGUUUCAUGGGUUUUAUUCAGUAACACCCUGUGGUUCAGGGCUUCAUGAGGAAACUGGUAAUGAGCUGAAUUUCCUGAUGGGUAGGGAAAACAGAAACUGUCUAAGAGCACAGCAUAUGUUUUAAAGCAGAGAGAAUGGAGAUGAUGGUGCUCAGGGGGACUAGUUUACUUUUCAGUUGGUCUUUAGAACAGAAGAAUAGCUAAUAGUUUAGUUCCUCUACUACAGAGAGUCUCAGCAAGAAGCUUGGGACGUGCCAAGUGAGAAGAAUCAGGAGCUUGGUUCUUCAAAAGAAAGAGAAGAGGGUAGCUUUGCAGGCUACUUCUGUUUUUACCCCUUCCUCCCAUCACCAGCAUCCACCCUGCAUCAUACCUUCAGUGGUGGACAGCAUCUUGCUCAGGCAGGUGGAAGCUUGUGAGCAGGCAAAAAAGAUGGAACAGCGCUGGCUUUAAGAAGGUAGCUGGCUUUGAGUCGGCAGCCUUGCAUCAGCUAGACCACACAUGCUCUCUGGACAGUGUGAGCCUGGGAUGUGCAUAUACUCCAACAAGCCUGGCUUUGGUUUUCAGCGUGCAGAUUUCAAAAUUGUCUCUUGUGGGAUUAAAACAACAUUUGAAAGGUGCUGGGUUGGAAUUUGUUCAAAUUUCUCAUUAACCACUAAUGUUAAUUCAUACCAAAGGUAAAUCACUCCAAACCAGCGGAUGCUGUUCAUGUCUGUGUUUUAAGCUACUUUAAACACAAUGAAAGGGUUUUAAUGGAACUGAGUCUUAGACGUAAGAAUCCUUGUGCUGUGAGAGCUCUUUGAGGUGUCAGGUGUCAGGCAAGAGAUUUAAACAAGCAGAAUCAGGAGUUAGCAAAAAUGCUGCAUUGUUUUGAUUCACGUUUAGAAACCUAAAUUUCUAUGCACAAGGAAUAAAGGGUCCACGUAUCAAGUGUAAAUCACUCCAUAGGCUACCAAAUUAUUUUUUAUUUGCUAGGAGAACAAAGCUGUCAUAACACAUAAAAAUCGGGCAGAGACUGCUGAGAAAGAGGAAUAUUUGCAUUUUGAAACAGGAUGUCGUAUUCGUUGUUGAACACGAAGAUCUGAAAAUCUUUACAAGAUGGGAAUGAUGUGCCCCUCCCAGCGUGGGGCUGCUGUGUAGGGUCCUGGGAAUCUGAGCUUUGUUCCCUGUGCAUGGAGGAUCACUGAAGCCAAGAGGUCAUGGGAUACACACUAUGGAGGGUCAGUUCUGCAGCCCUUGUCUUCUGGGCCAUACUAUUCAUUGUUAGUUUAAACAUAGGACUACCAAGCAAUACAAACUGACUAUGAGUUUAGUAGGGAAGUGAGAGUAAAAUCUGCACAAGCUGCAUACAGUUUAUUAUUCUAAUGUAAGUAGAACUAUCUGCAUAUAAUGUGAUUUAAUUUAUUGUCAUUUUGUGUAGAAAUGAGAAUUAGUGACUGUGGAUAUAACCCCUGUUUUGUAUAAUAUAUUUUAUUUCUGGUGCAAACUGGUCAUUUAAAAGAUCUAAUUCAUUUGGUGUUUGGAUAUAAAUGUGUACGUGUUCUUGUAAAUGUUUCUAUUAAGCAAGAAUGCCACAUCCUUGGAGUAUAACAAUGUGUUCCCAUUAAAAAAAUACAUCCCACAGAAAACUUUUCCUGUUUAUAAUUCAACCAACAUACAUUGCACGUCUCCAUAUUCUCUGAGGACUUUCCGUUCUCCUAGACCUAGUGUAAGUAAAAGAUCAGUCAGUGGGCAUGAUGAAUUGCAGUAUUUGAAUGAUACCCUUGAAUGGGGCCAUGAAUUUCUGCUCAAAGAUGGGCAUUCGGUGUAGUGAGUAAGAUGCCAGUUAGGAUGCCUGUGUUCCAUAUUGGAGCACCCGGGCUUGAUACCCAGCCCUGGCAUCUGACCCCAACUUCUUGCUGAAUCAGUCCUUGGGAAGCAGCAAUGAUGGCUCCAGUACUCAUGUCCCAGCCACCCACAAGGGAGACUGGAUUGAGUUCCUGACUUCUGGCUUUGACCUGGCCCAAUUCUAGCUGUUGCAGGCAUUUGGGGAAUGAGCUAGUGGAUGGGAGCUCUGUCUGUCUGUUUGUGUCUCAUAUAAAUAGGUCAAAGAAAUGUUCCUGCUCAUAAAAGGGAAAUUUGUAGAAAGAAGAAAUUUUUUAACUGUUAUUAAAACAAGGGGCAAGGGGUUGGUGCUGUGUGAUGUAGCGGGUAAAACCGCUGCCUGCAGUGCCGGGAUUCCACAUGGGCACUGAUUCAAGUCCCAGCUGCUCCACUUCUUAUCCAGCUCUCUGCUAUGACCUGGGAAAGCAGAGGAAGAUGGCCCAAGUCCUUGGGCCUCUGCAUCUGUGUGGGAGACCCGGAAGAAGCUUCUGGCUCUUGGCUUCGGAUCAGCUCAGCUCCGGCUGUUGCAGCCAUUUGGGGAGUGAACCAGAAGAUGGAAGACUUCUCUCUCUGUCUCUUCCUCUCUCUGUAACUCUGCCUCUCAAAUAAACAAAUAAAUCUUCAAAACAAAACAAAACAAAAAACAAGAGGCAAACCUUGGCUUGGCAUGUAAGGGAAGAAGUCUUCAUGAAUAUUUUCUGUCAUUUUGAGUCUCCAAACUUGAGACCGCUGCACGCUGAGAGUUGUCCUCAUUGAUUCAUCACAUCCCUUGCUCACUUUAAAGAUGCCCUAAAUCAAAUUUGCCCCUCUAAUGAAAUCCCUACGUGCCAGUGUACUAAGAUUAGUCAGCCUUCAAUGCCUCCAGUUGCCUCUGGGCUGUGAAAGCUGCUCCACUUUGGGCUGGCAUUGUGGCACGGUGGGUUAAACUAUAGCUUGUGAUGCCAGGGUCCAUUAUUGGAGUGCGUAGUUUGAGUCCUUGCUGCUCUUCUUCUGAUCUAGUGUCUUGCUAAUUUGCCUUGGAAGAGAGGAUGAUGGUUCAAGAAGCUGGGCACCAGCCACCCAUGUGGGAUUUGGGAAAUGAACCAGUGCAUUGAAGGUCUUUCUUUCUCUCUGUCUCUCUGGUACUCUGCCUUUCAAAUAAACAAAUACAUAAAUCUUAAAAAAAAAGAAAGAUGCUUUGGGGCGGGCACUGUGGCUCAGCAGGUUAACGCCCUGGCCUGAAGUGCUGGCAUCCCAUAUGGGCACUGGUUCGAGUCCUGGCUGCUUCUUUUCCGAUCCAGCUCUCUUCUGUGGCCUGGGAUAGCAGUAGAAGAUGGCCCAAGUCCUUGGGCCCCUGCACCUGCGUGGGAGACUGGGAAAAAGCUCCUGGCUCCUGGCUUCAGGUCGGCACAGCUUUGGUUGUUGCGGCCAUCUGGGGAGUGAACCAUCGGAUGGAAGACCACUCUCUCUCUCUCUCUCUGCCUCUCCUCUCUCUGUGUAACUCUGACUUUUGAAUAAAUAAAUAAAUCUUAAGAAAAAAAGAAAGCUGCUUCACUAUCUGGGAAGUUACUUAUGGUCUAUUUGAAACCCAAGAAACACAUUGCUAUUUACAUGGUUCAAGCAGUGCUUCCCUGGUCCAGUCAUUUCCUGUCUUCUAUGUACAUGAUCUCUUCCUUUCCAUCACCUUCCACAUCCAAUCAGAUACCAUCCCUCUCUCCCACUCGAUUUUCACUGCCUUUAAGCAAGGUUUUCAUCAAUGUAGUUCCAAAUAAGCAGAGAGCAGCCUCCUGUCUCCUCUUAUUUCUAUGUUUUCUACUCAUUUCUCAGACCCACCAGUCUUCCUAAAACAUUGUGUUGAUAAUGUUACUCUCUUGCUCACCAACCUUUAAUGACUCCCAUUCCCUGAUUCCCCACAGGUCAGAUUCAAUACUCCAUGCCUGGUGGCCACAGCCUCUACCCGCAGUCCUUCUGUGUCUAUUUGUUAUUCACAAUUCCUUUGAUUCAGUUAAAUUGUGCUGAAUUUGACUUAUUCAAAGGAUCUAUUUGUUACUGCAAUAUCAUGACAGUGGAUUUAGUAACCAAGGUGGCUACUAAAGUGACCAGUGGGCAGGUAGCAUAUAAAGAGUGGAUACACUGCACAAAGGAAUGACUCACAUUACAGAUGGGACAGAACAAAAUAGCAUGAGAUUUCAUCAUGCUACUCAGAAAGCACACAAUUUAAAACUUAUCAGUGGCUUGUUUCUGGAAUAUUCCAUGUAAUGUUUUUCAACUAUGAUUGAUCUUGGGUAACUGAAGCCUCAGAAAGCAGAACUGCAGAUAAAGGGGACUGUGAUACAGGGGAAUUGUCACAAGCAUAAGUACUAAAGAGCGACAUUUAAGACAAUAAUGUUCUUUUCUGAGAUUACAACUGAUUUUAUGUAUGAGUUAUGAAAAUGUCUUUUCUCUUACAAAAUGAUAGUAAUAGUGGAUUUUUUCUCUAUAUCUUUAGUCGACCAAAUAAAAAGUCACCAAACUUCAAAAAAAUCUUUUUGACAGGAUUGAGAUUCAAGAAACCUGUAAAUUUGAUAUCAUUCUUUUAGUCUGUUGGAAUUAUAUAAUGUCUGCUUGCUUAUUCAUAAUAACAUGCUAUAUAUUCUUUUUUGAAAAAAUAUUGUUUUAUUUGAAAGGUAGAGUUAGAGAUAGUGAUGAGAAAGAGAGAGGGAGGGAGGGAGAGAGGGAGAGAGAGAGAGAGAGAGGAAUACAGAGAUCUUCCACCUGCUGGUUCAAUUCCCCAAAUGUCCACAAUGGCCAGGCAGGGUAGGGCCAGGCUGAAGCCAGGAGCAAGAAACUCCAUCCAUAUCUCCCACACAAGUGGCAGAGGCCCAAGUACUUGGAUAAUCUUCUGUUGCUUUCUCAGAUGCAUCAGCAGGGAGGUGGAUCAGAAGUGGAGCAGUUGGAACUCUAACUGGUGCUCAUAUGGGAUGCCAGUGUCAUGGGCGGGGCUUAACCAUUGUGCCACAAUGCGGGCUCUGAGACUCUAGCUUGUAUUCUGAACAUCAGGACUCAAGCUUUCCCCUUGUUUUGCAUCCCAGUGACUUAGAGAUAGUUGUUUGGUAAAUCCCUGUGUUACCCUGUGUAAAGGUAACACAGCCCAGCCUAGCUUCCUGAGUUUAUCUCCAUCCUCCUUGGAGAGAAUUCUCAUAUUCUGACUAUAGAUGAGUGACUAAGAAGUCAUCCUCAAGCCAGAACUAUUGGCAAAGGGAACAUCUGACAAAUAUACUGCACUUGAAAGAGUUUUAUAGCUGUUUCUCAAAACUGGUCCCCAACAUUGACUUCUACAUCUUAUAAACAGCUUCUAGGGGCUGGUGCUGUGGCGCAGGGGGUUAACACCCUGGCCUGAAGCGCCGGCAUCCCAUAUGCGUGCCAGUUCAAGACCUGGUUGUGGCACUUCUGAUCCAGCUCUCUGCUAUGGCCUGGGAAAGCAGUAGAAGAUGGCCCAAGUCCUUAGGCCCCUGCACCUAUGUGGGAGACCCGGAGGAAGCUCCUGGUUCCUGGCUUUGGAUCAGCACAGCUCUGGCCACUGUGGCCAAUUGGGGAGUGAACCAUCGCAUGGAAGACUUCUCUCUCUCUCUCUGCCUCUCCUCUCUCUGCUGUGUAACUCUGACUUUCAAAUAAAUAAAUCUUAAAAAAAUAAACAGCUUCCAAGUUGAAACCUCACUGUUGCUCAGGUCAUUAUGACAAUAACAAGAGUAAAUCCACUAGAGACUUUCACUUAGUGGAGCCUUCCAAACCAUGGCACCAUUUUUUUUUUUUUACUUAAGACUUUUCUGAACUUAGUUGUGUUGACUUAAGAGAAAAAGAAGAAAAACCCUUGACUCCAAAUCCCUGCAUAUCAGUGUGGAUGCUUUUUUGAAUUUUACUCUCAUUUCUACCCAUCCAAGGUCCUGUAUCUUCUGAUUUCAAAUAAGCAUUGGCUAAAAGCUACUCUUAGAUUUUUACUUAAGAAUUAAUUGGAAUUCUUGGGUUUGUCUGUAUUAUGUGAAAAAUGAACCAAACUGCUGCUAGUGAGCUGGAGCUGGCUCAUGCUGGCUUAUGGGAACAUAUGAUUGAAUUUUCAGGAAUUUUGUCAGGGGCUUGGUAAGUAAGUCAUUCUGAAGACACAAAAUUAUAAAAAUUUGCACUUAAAAAUAAAUUCUAUAAGAUAAUAAAUACUCAAAAACAUCACUUUCUAAUUAUUUAACUACAUUUUUCUUUUUUUUUUUUUUAUUUGACAGAGUUAGACAGUGAGAGAGAGAGACAGAGAGAAAGGUCUUCCAUUGGUUCACCCGCAAGUGGCUGCUAUGGCCGGUGCUGCGCCGAUCCAAAGCCAAGAGCCAGGUGCUUCCUCCUGGUCUCCCAUGCUGAUGCAGGGCCCAAGCACUUGGGCCAUCCUCCACUGCCUUCCCGGGUCACAGCACAGAGCUGGACUGGAAGAAGAUAACUACAUUUUUCAACUACUGGUGCUAUUGGGGUUAUUCCCGUUUGCUGCAUAUGUAUGGUGAAAAUGUUAUACCAGUUUUGAGAUUAGAUGAUUGUUUACAGUCCUUGUCUCUUCCAUUGAGGAACAGUGUUUUCUUCUUCAUACUAUUUGUCGAACUGUUUUACUUAGUGUAGGGUUAACUUUACUACCAUUAAAUAAACUGAAAAUAGAUCUUUGUUAAAAUUAAGAGUGGGAAUGGGAGAAGGAGGAGGAAGAAGGGUUGGAGCAUUCAUGGGUGGGAGGCAGGGUAAGGUGGGAAGUGUCACUAGGUUCCUAAAUAUAUAUAUGAAAUACAUGAAACUUGUAUGAUUUAAAUAAGAUUUAAAAAAGAAAAUACUAUACUGGGACUUCAAAAAGUUCAUGGGAACUUUACAUUUUGGAACCCAUCAGCGUUAACUAUACAACCCCUCUGUAGACCAGUGAUUCUCUUUUAAAAUCUCUUACGGGGUGAAUGUUUGGCUCAGCGGUUAAGAUGCUGCUUGGGAUGCCCAGAUCCUUUGACUGCCUGGUUUCAAGUCCUGACUCUGUUUCUGAUUCUGGCUUCCUGCUAAUCACACCCUGGAAUGCAUCGGGUGAUGACUUGAGUACUUGGGUCCCUGCCACCCACGUGGGAGACUUGGAUUGAGUUCUGGACAUUUGGCUUAGGCCUGGCUUAACCCUGGCUGUUGGGGGGCAUUUAGAGAGUGAACCUGCAGAUGAAAGCUCUCUCUCUGUUUCUGUUUCUCUGCUUUUCAAAUAAAAUUUAAAAAAUUAAAAUAAAUCUCUUAUGGAGCAAUUUUUUAAAAAGAUUUGUCCAUUUAUUUGAAAGGCAGAGUUACAGCGAGAGAAGGAGAGUUCGUCCAUCUGCUGGUUCACUCCCCAAAUGGCUGAAAUGGUCAGAGCUGGGCCCGUCUGAAACCAGGAGCUGGGAGCUUACUCCAGGUCUCUCAUGUGGGUGCAGGCGCCCAAGCAAUUUGGCCAUCCUCCGCUGCUUUCCCAGGCACAUCAUCAGGAAGCUGGAUCAAAAGUGAGGGCAGGCCGGCGCCACAGUUCACUAGGCUAAUCCUCCGCCUUGCGGCACCAGCACACCGGGUUCUAGUCCCGGUUGGGGUGCCGGAUUCUGUCCUGAUUGCCCCUCUUCCAGGCCAGCUCUCUGCUGUGGCCAGGGAGUGCAGUGGAGGAUGGCCCACCCUGCACGCCAUGGGAGACCAGGAUAAGUACCUGGCUCCUGCCAUCAGAUCAGUGCGGUGCGCCAGCCACAGCGCGCCAGCCGCGGCCAUUGGAGGGUGAACAAACGGCAAAGGAAGACCUUUCUCUCUGUCUCUCUCUCUCACUGUCCACUCUGCCUGUCCAAAAAAAAAAAAAAAAAAAAAAAAAAAGUGAGGGCAGCCCUUUCACUCUGUGUGUAAUUCUAUUUGUCAAAUUAAAAAAAAAAAAAAUGGGGCCAGUGCCGUAGCUCACUUGGUUAAUCCUCUGCCUGUGGCACUGGCAUCCCAUAUGGGCGCUGGGUUCUAGUCCCGGCUGCUCUUCUUCCAGUCCAGCUCUCUGCUGUGGCCCGGGAAGGCAGUGGAGGGUGGGCCCCUGCACCAGCAUGGAAGACGAGGAAGAAAUACCUGGCUCCUGGCUUUGGAUUGGCACAGUUCCAGCCAUAGUGGUCAUUUGGGGAGUGAACCAAUGGAAGGAAGACCUUUCUCUCUGUCUCUCUCUCACUGUCUAUAAUUCUGUCAAAUUAAAAAAAAAAAAAGAAGUUAGGCAGCUGGGACUCUACCCGGUGUUCUUAUGGGAUGCUGGUUUUAGUAAAAUGGUGCAGUCUUAUCUGUGGAACCAUCUACGCCCUGGACACCAUCCUAGGUUCUAGCACCCCCACUGCCAUUGCUGGAAGCCAGGUGACCACAUGGCCCAACCACAGCUGUCAGCUCCACCCCUACACUAAUGGGGCUCACUGCUCCUACUUCCCUGCCCACCCUCCGGCAAAGGUUUAACAGGAACUGUUCCUGAACACACGUGCGCUCUUUUGUUCUCUCUCUUACAUUCUUUUCCUCUUUCUUACCCUCUUGCCUUCUCCCUUUGUCCCAUUGGGCUUCCCUUACCCUACAAUAAACCUUUUCUCUAACUCCAGUGUUUGGUGUGUUUUGUGGUGGCCUCACACUGGUGCCGCAGGCUGUGGCUUCACCUGCCAUGCCACAGUGCUGGCCCCGUUGUUUUUUUAAUAUACUUGGUUUUGCUCUGUAUACUUAACAAAAUGGGUAGAAUAAUUGAGGAUAAACCAAUGGCUUGUUUUAUCUUCAGGGUAUUAUCUACAUGACCCAACUACUGCCCUCAGAGAACUGACAGCUUUUUCUCUGUAUCUUACUUGGCCAAGUAUGCUCAGUGUGUCCACGGGCAUCAUAUCUAUGCUUCCUGGAUGGUGUUUCAGCCUCUGUACACUAUUCCCUACCCAUCCUCUCACCACUCAAGCUUUAUCUUCUUUUCCACCAUGGUAACUCUGGUACCUUAUAAAUGUUUCCUCUAACAACCACCAUAUGUAGUAUUAAUAAUAGAGGGUUUGUCUACAUGCAAUGUUAUGCUAUGUAAAACAGGGCAGAGAAUAUUUCUCUAUGCCAAGCCAUGGACUUGAACAUUUAAAUUCCAAUGAUCUCUUGAAUUUUUAAAGUAUGAGUGAUGCUUUCUUAUACACAAAUUGAGGACUGGAAGUAGGCGAGAAAGGAAAAAUGAGUCUCCUCAAGACUGCAGUGACUCUGGAGGGUUGGAGGAGAGGGCUCACUGAGAUGUUCAGAUAAUUCUCCUCUUCACCAUUAUGACAUCAAAAUGGAUACCUGGCGGUAUUUAGCAUAAACCCUGCAAUCAAGGAAAGGUAACCUAGGUAUUUUUUCUAGCACUGGGUUCAUGUAACAUGUGGCAGAUACAGAGACCAGUCACCACUUACCUCCAUGGAUACCACUUUGCAUUGGUGAAGAAGAUUCCUGAUGUGACUCAGACUUCUCACCCGUGGCUUGUAAAAGCCAGGCUAACUCAGCGGCACUGAUGUCAAGUUUUGGCCACCAAAGCCUUUUUGCAUUAUUGGUUCCGGCUUCAAAGGAGAAGGAGCAAGGCCUGCUGAAAACAACUGGAAUCUUCUGAGUUUCUGAAAGCACAUAAGCUUCUUUGAUGGAGUUCUUGGCCCUGCCAUCCAAAAGCCAAAGGAGCUCAUUGAUUAAGCUGUCGGGUGACCAAGCUCUCUGUGAAUUCAGGUCAGACCAGAGGCGAUGGUUAAUAGCAAGCAGGGAUACAAACUGAAUGCUGCCCACAGGGUAAGGCAGAAAGAGCACCAGUGCCACCACCUGGAUGCAGGGAGAAUGAGGCACCACAUAGAAAAGCAAAGUCCCUGUGUGGCCGGAGUCUGGCUAAUUUCCAUUUAUUUUACUUUCCUUAUUGCAUCGGCUGGAUCUUCCAAUGCAAGAUCAGCCAGACGUGGUAAGAGUGAGCAUUCUUGCCUUGUUUCUGACAUGAGGGGUGGAAGCAUUCAGACUUUGUCAUUAUGUGUCAUGUCAGCCGUGGGAUUUUCAUAGGGCCAUUUCAUUUGCUUCUUUUUGUCCUACUUGUUGUUACCCUUGUGUUCUGCUGCUGCCUUCUUUUGCUUAAUUGAUUAGUCUUAAAUCAAGCUUAUGUUUUGUUGACUUAAUGGUCAACAAAUAAAUCUAAUCCCUGUUAUGCCAUCUGGUCAGAAAAUCAAUGAAAUUUUGAAGAAAGAGGAAAGAGCUUUCUACCACUUUGAAGGAGGGAAGGUCUUCAAAAAUUCAUGGAAAAUGUACAUUGUGGCCAGUGCCGCAGCUCACCUGGCUAAUCCUCCGCAUGCGGCACCGGCACCCCAGGUUCUAGUCCUGGUUGGGGCGCUGGAUUCUGUCCUGGUUGCUCCUCUUCCAGUCCAGCUCUCUGCUGUGGCCUGGGAGCUGUGGCCCAGGAGGGCAGUGGAGGAUGGCCCAAGUGCUUGGGCCCUGCACCCACAUGGGAGACCAGGAGGAAGCACCUGGCUCCUGGCUUCGGUUCGGCACAGUGCGCCGGCCGUAGCAGCCAUUUUGGGGGUGAACCAAAGGAAGGAAGACCUUUCUCUCUGUCUCUCUCUCUCACUGUUUAACUCUGCCUGUCAAAAAAAAAAUGUACAUUUUCUUGCACCAGAAUAAACUCAUACUAACUUGUUACAGUAUAUUGGCAGAGAAUCUAGUUUGGGGCCCUAAAAGGAUAAGACAUUAGUUUGAAACAUGUCCUUAUCAGGGCCCCAUGAAUUCUGCUUAAAUUGAAGCAAGAACAAAUGUCAACUGUAUAGUAAACCUUGGUUGAGAGAAUCAUAUUAUUGAUGCUUUAUGAAAAGUUUCUGAGGAUGGUGCUGCCCAGGAUUAAAAAAAGGAUAACUUGUUUUAAGAAGGGAUGAGACAAUACCAAAGAUAAAGCUCAUAGUAGCAGACAACCCACAUCAAUUUGCAAGGAAAAUAUCAAUGCUGUCUAUGCCCUAACUGAAGAAGACUGAUGGUUAAUAGCAGAAACAAUAGCCAGCACCACAGACACCUCAAUUCAUUUGACUCACAAAAUUUUUGCUGAAAUAUUAAGGUUGAGUAAAUUUUCUGCUUAUUGGGUGCCAAAACUGUUAUGCCCUGAUCAGUGGCAUACAAGAGCAGUUUCCAAUAGUAAUUUUAAACCAAUGGGAUCAAGAUCCUGAAGCAUUUAUUCAAAGCACUGUAAUAGGAUAUGAAAUAUGAGUUCACCAGUCUCAUCCUGAAGGCAAAACACCAUCAAAACAAUGGCUACCAAGAGGCAGAAAUGGCUUAGCAAAUGGGAGUCAGUCAAGAACAAAGAUCAUGGCACAUUUUGCUUGUUGGCUUUCUGGACAGCCAAAGAGUAGUAACCCUUACUGAUGAGAACAGGUUUCUUUGGUGAAAAUGAUCCAAAGCUUUAGCAGAAAAGUACCUGGGGAAACUCCAGCACAAAGUCCCUCUCCAUGACAAUGCUUCUACUCAGUCCUCUCGUUAAGCAAGGGCAAUAUUGCCAGAGUUUUGGUGGGCAGUCAAGAGGCAUCCACAAUGAAGUCCUGUUUCUAAGUUCUCUUUGUUUACCAGUGUUCAAAAAUCUUUUUGUAAAAAAAGAUUUAUUUUGUUUAUUUGAAAGGCAGAGUUACAGAGAGGGAGAAGGAGAGACACAGAGAGAGAUCUUCCAUCCUCUGGUUCACUCCCCAAAUGGCUGCAAUGGUUGGGGCUGAGUCAGGCCAAAGCCAGGAGCCAGGAAUUUCAUCCAGGUCUCCCACAUGGGUGCAGGGGCCCAGACACUUGAGCCAUCCUGCACUGCCUUCCCACUUGCAUUAGCAGGGAGCUAGUUCAGAAGUGGAGGAGCAGGGACUUGAACUGGUGCCCACAGGGGAUGCAGGCAUCACAGGCGGCAGCUUUACCCUCUGCAUCACAAUGCCAACCCCAAUCUUCAAAAAUCUGUAAGAGAGUCCAUUUUUCUUCCAUUAAUUAUGUAAAAAAGACUGCAUUGACAUAGUUCCAUUCCCAGUAGCCUAUGUUCUUUAGGGGUGGACAAAGUAGUUGGUAUUAUGACCUAAAAUGUGUCUUAAACUUGAGAGAACUCCUAUUGAGAAAAAAAGUAUGUAUGUAUUUUGAAAUUCCAUUUUCCCUCAAGCCCUUUGAAGUGCCCUUGCCUAUGAAGGCAUUUUAUAAAGCUCUAAUAUUUUCCAUGGUAUCAUCUCAGCAAUAAAUAGAUUAUUUGAACAGAAGGAUGAGCUACAAAAGAGGCCCAUAUAAAGAGACUUAUUAAGAAAAUAAUGACAUGCAGAGCUCUGAGGAAAGCACAGUAUUUGCAGUAGUGAUGGCUGAGCCAAAUGAGAAUUCAUAUGGAGAAGAGAAGGCUUGAUUCUGUAUCAUGUCAUUUACAAAAAUCCAAGGGAAUUGUAGACCUGAAUGUGAUAUGGAAAGCAAUGCAGAUUUUAGAACUUAAUACCAGAGGCAUUUUCAUUGUUAUCAGUGUAGAAAGCUAUCUGAAUAGGCACAGCACCAGUGGAAAACCAAGUAGCCAAUAAAUACAUGAAAAGUUGUUCCGCCUUGCUGGUAAUUAGGUAGAUGUAGUUCAAAACUACAAUGAAAUACACACAGACCAGGCUGGCAAAGAUGUACAACCCCAACAAUACACAUUUUAGAGAGGAGCAGAUCAACGGAGAGUGUCAUAUAUAACUGGUGGGAGUAUAAAUUGGUACAACUACUUUGGAAAAUUCUUAGUUUUUCUAUGAAGUUGAAGAUACAUAUACAUUAUGGCUCAACAAUUUUGCUCCUAGGUCUACACCCAAGAGAAAGGGGGUACACAUGUAUACCAAAAUGCAUUAAAAAAGUUAUUGUUCAUAACAUACUAAAUUCAGAAAUAGCCUAAAUGUUAUUCAAUAGUAAAAUGGAUACAUGAAAAAAAUUAUUGCAGUGUGUUCAAAUAAUGAAGAUUAUAAAGAAAUAUUUUGCCCAUUUUUCAGUUAGGUUUUCUGGAAUUCUUUUUUUUAAGAUUUUAUUUAUUUAUUUGAAAGGUAGAGUCACAGACAGUGAGAGGGAGUGACAGAGAGAAAGGUCUUCCAUCUGCUGGUUCACUCCCCAAAUGACUGCAACAGCUGGAGCUGCACCGAUUUUCUUCCCUGUCUCCCUUGCAGGUGCAGAGGCCCAAGGACUUGGGCCAUCUUCUACUGCUUUCCCAGGCCACAGCAGAGAGCUGGACUGGAAAAGGAGCAACCGGGACUAGAACUGACACCCAUAAGGGAUGCCGGUGCUGCAGGCGGAGGAUUAACCUGCACCAUGGCAUUGGCCCCUCUGGAAUUCUUUAAAUACCAUUCUAUGAUCAUUAUUGAUUGUAUUCUCCACAUUGUAUUAAAAAAAAAAAAAAGAUCAAUUGGGCCAGUGAUGUGGUGUAGCAGGUAAAGUUGCUGCCUGCAGUGCCGGCAUCCCACAUGGGCGCCAGUCCAAGUCCCAGCUGCUCCACUUCUGAUCCAAUUCUCUGCCAUGAUCUGCAAAAGCUGUAGAGGAUGGCCCAAAUUCUUGGGCCCCUGCACCAGCAUGGGAGACCCGGAGGAAGCUUCUGGCUCCUGGCUUUGGAUCAGCACAGCUCCUGCCUUGCAGCCAUCUGUGGAGUGAACCAGUGGUUGGAAGACCUCUCUCUCUCUCUCUCUCUUUCUCUCUCUCUCUGACUCUGCCUCUUUGUAACUCUGUCUUCAAACAAAUAAAUCUUACAAAAAAAUCAGGAAAAAAAGAUCAAUAAUUAGCAAGCCAAUUUACAUUAGAAAGUAGCUAUAAUAGUAUUAGAAAAUUCUUGCUCUCUAAUGACAUAUUUUUAAAAUGGUGAAUAAAGAUUGUGAAUGCACCAAAAUCUCAAAUAUGGAAUACAACAAAAGAAAGUACACUUAAAUAUUAACAGUAGUUACCUUUGUGAUGAUGUUUAUUUAUACAAAGAAUAUAUAUUUCUUUUAUAGUUAGAACAAUAGACAUUUAAAAAAUACCAACUCACAAGGUAGUCCAUGUAAAACUUAUUGAAAAUAAUGUAAAAAAAUCCAAGUCUGUACUUACUUUAUAGGAAUUAAUCUUGUUGAACCACGGUACUAAAGAACAGAAAUACAUAGCUGCUGGAAUUAUGGGGUCAUCCUACAGUUCAUACAUUUCAAAAAGAAAGAAAGAAAGAAAAAAGAAAGAAAGGAAGAGAGAGAGA
Non-coding RNA from Oryctolagus cuniculus (rabbit), 19939 nucleotides. NCBI's taxonomy places the organism in Eukaryota, Metazoa, Chordata, Mammalia, Lagomorpha, Leporidae. The record is from RefSeq and is a predicted model, not a curated record.